RNAcentral lists this ribosomal RNA (407 nucleotides) under uncultured microorganism. RNAcentral's name for it is "bacterial SSU rRNA". It matches the Rfam family "Bacterial small subunit ribosomal RNA", at positions 509 to 917 of the family's 1533-position model. The record is from RNAcentral.
CAGCCGCCGCGGUAAUACGGAGGGCGCGAGCGUUGUCCGGAUUCACUGGGCGUAAAGCGGGUGUAGGCGGUCGGGUAAGUCGGACGUGAAAGCCCGGGGCUCAACCCCGGAAGGGCGUCCGAAACUGCUCGACUUGAGGGCGGGAGAGGGAGGUGGAAUUCCCGGUGUAGCGGCGAAAUGCGUAGAUAUCGGGAGGAACACCAGUGGCGAAGGCGGCCUCCUGGCCCGCUCCUGACGCUGAGACCCGAAAGCGUGGGGAGCAACCCGGAUUAGAUACCCGGGUAUCCCACGCCGUAAACGGUGGGCACUAGGUGUGGGGGGUUAAUCCCUCCGUGCCGAAGCUAACGCAUUAAGUGCCCCGCCUGGGGAGUACGGCCGCAAGGUUGAAACUUAAAGGAAUUGGCGGG